GAUGAACGCUGGCGGCGUGCCUAAUACAUGCAAGUCGAGCGAACGGACGAGAAGCUUGCUUCUCUGAUGUUAGCGGCGGACGGGUGAGUAACACGUGGAUAACCUACCUAUAAGACUGGGAUAACUUCGGGAAACCGGAGCUAAUACCGGAUAAUAUUUUGAACCGCAUGGUUCAAAAGUGAAAGACGGUCUUGCUGUCACUUAUAGAUGGAUCCGCGCUGCAUUAGCUAGUUGGUAAGGUAACGGCUUACCAAGGCAACGAUGCAUAGCCGACCUGAGAGGGGGAUAGGCCAAAGUGGGAAGGAGAGAAGGAAGAAACGACGAAGGGAGGGAGCAGUAGGGAAGCGUAGGAAAUGGACGAAAGUAUGAACGAGAAAGGACGAGGGAGUGAAGAAGGUUUUCGGAUCGUAAAAAUCUGUUGGUAGAGAAGAAAGGUGGUGAGAGUGGAAAGCUCAGCAAGUGACGGUAACUAAACAGAAAGGGACGGCUAACUACGUG
Molecule: ribosomal RNA, 498 nt
Filed under: uncultured bacterium
Lineage: Bacteria
Description: partial 16S ribosomal RNA
Rfam family: Bacterial small subunit ribosomal RNA
Source: RNAcentral